CCAUCGGUGGUUCAGUGGUAGAAUGCUCGCCUGCCACCUGGGUUCGAUUCCCGGCCGAUUCA
RNAcentral lists this transfer RNA (62 nucleotides) under Cordylochernes scorpioides. RNAcentral's name for it is "tRNA-OTHER". The record is from RNAcentral. Lineage: Eukaryota; Metazoa; Arthropoda; Arachnida; Pseudoscorpiones; Chernetidae.